Molecule: ribosomal RNA, 492 nt
Filed under: uncultured bacterium
Lineage: Bacteria
Description: partial 16S ribosomal RNA
Rfam family: Bacterial small subunit ribosomal RNA
Source: RNAcentral
GAUGAACGCUAGCUACAGGCUUAACACAUGCAAGUCGAGGGGAAACGACAUCGAAAGCUUGCUUUUGAUGGGCGGCGACCGGCGCACGGGUGAGUAACGCGUAUCCAACCUGCCCAUCACGUGGGAAUAACCUUGCGAAAGUAAGACUAAUACCCACUGACAUCCCACGAAGACAUCUGAAUGGGAUUAAAGAUUUAUCGGUGAUGGAUGGGGAUGCGUCUGAUUAGCUUGUUGGCGGGGUAACGGCCCACCAAGGCAACGAUCAGUAGGGGUUCUGAGGGGAAGCGCCCCCACAUUGGAGCUGCGACACAGUCCCCACUCCUACGGGAGGCAGCAGUGUGGAAUAUUGGGCAAUGGGCCAGAGCCUGACCCAGCCACGUAGCGUGCAGGAUGCCUGCCCUAUGGGUUGUAAUCUGCUUUUAUAAGGGAAUAGCGUGGGUCUCGUGAGACUUUUUGCCUGUACCUUAUGAAUAAGGACCGGCUAAUUCCGUG